Molecule: ribosomal RNA, 301 nt
Filed under: uncultured bacterium
Lineage: Bacteria
Description: partial 16S ribosomal RNA
Rfam family: Bacterial small subunit ribosomal RNA
Source: RNAcentral
CAGCAGCCACGGUAAUACGUAGGGUGCAAGCGUUAUCCGGAUUUAUUGGGUUUAAAGGGUCCGUAGGCGGAUCUGUAAGUCAGUGGUGAAAUCUCACAGCUUAACUGUGAAACUGCCAUUGAUACUGCAGGUCUUGAGUAAAUUUGAAGUGGCUGGAAUAAGUAGUGUAGCGGUGAAAUGCAUAGAUAUUACUUAGAACACCAAUUGCGAAGGCAGGUCACUAAGAUUUAACUGACGCUGAUGGACGAAAGCGUGGGGAGCGAACAGGAUUAGAUACUCGCGUAGUCCCUGUCUCUUAUAC